UAAAAUGAAUCACAAUUAAAAUUUUGAACGUGAAAUUGCAUUCUUUUGUGUAGCUACAUGGAGACAGAUUGAUAAACAAACAGACUGAUAGACAGACAUACAAACAGAUAGAAAGAUAGACAGGUAAAUAUAUUGACAGACAGACAGACAGACAGAUUGACAGACAGACAGACAGAUAGAUAGAUAGAUAGUCCAGUUGAAAUAUAUAAGGAAAAGAGCUUUAAAAAAUUAGCGUAAACAAAUAAAUAAAACACACAUCGUUAAAAAUACUGUCUUCUACUGUUUAGAUUUUUUUUAAAUAUCCAGUUAAUUUCAUUAUGAUGUUAAUUUAUGAAUAAAACAGUUUUUGUAACAGGGUUCUGUUUUUCUAAGACACGCCCGGACACUAGGGGGCGGUAAAAGCACGUCAAAUCACUGACAAAAUAUCCGCCGAAGAAAAAUAAAGACGCGUCUGAUUGGUCAAGUCACUUAUUUUCGUCACUUCCUCCUGCUUCUAACGGUUAUACGUGACGCAGCAGGUUUAACGCGACAGAAUCGUUGAGACGACGCAGCGACCGACAGCUUCACGUUUGGUCUCAGUUCGCGUUUUAAACGCCAUCAAAACUCGUCUAGGGUUCGUUCGUUCUGUUCGAUAUGUGCGUUGUUGUUGCCAUGGCGACGGAAAAGAGAAAGCAAGCGAAUACAAACAGAUGGGGGAGAAAGAAGUCGGUGUACUCGUGUGGGGUGAAAGCUGGGGCUCGGAAACACGUCGGAAGAUCGCAUAGGAAACCCACACGAGGUAUUCCCGGCCCUGUGUGUGGACACAAGCUGCCGGCAGGAGCCAUGGCGCCCACAAACACCACACAGUACCUGAUGGAGCUCGUCUACAGUGAGCUGAACAUCACUGCGUCUCGACACGCACACACGUACUCUUACACGUCUGCCUACACGGACCAAGACACCAUGGACUUUCAGCGCCGCGAUUUCGAGAGCGUUUUCUUUCACAAUGAGGUUUGAAGAAUCGUCGCCAUUUUAACGGCCGCCAUCUUGGAAAGGGCAAAAAGGAAACGCAAGAAAAUCCUGAAGCUGAACCGAUUUAAAUCUGAUGUGAGCCUUGUAACUCAAAUUUGUUACCCACGUGUAUUGUUACUGUGUUUUUACAAAGGUUUUGCUGACGCAUUGUAUACGUACAAGGGCUCAUCUGUUGGCUGUCCUUGUCUCACAGCGACACGCAUGCGCAGAAUCGACGCCAUUUUGACGGCCGCCAUCUUGGAAAGGGAAAAAGACGAGAAUUCUAAAGCUAAACCGAUUUAAAUCGGAUGUGAGCCUUGUAACUCAAAUUUGUUACCCACGUGUAUUGUUACUGUGUUUUACAAAGGUUUUGCUGACGCAUUGUAUACGUACAAGGGUUCAUCUGUUGCUGUCCUUGUCUCACAGCGACACGCAUGCGCAGAAUCGACGCCAUUUUGACGGCCGCCAUCUUGGAAAGGGAAGAAGGGAGAGAAAAAACACGAAAAUCCUGAAGCUGAACCGAUUUAAACCUGAUCGACGCUCAGCGGGAGGCUCGUGGCUCUGCGUCAGAGUGUAAGCCACGCCCACGCCUGCUAAGACACCUGGGCGCACAGGUAAACCUGCUCCACAAUGGUGUGUAUGCACUAUGUCUACAUGUCUGUGUGUUGUGGUGUUUUGCUGUGCCUCUGUGUUCGAGAGACUUUUUCAGGUCUGCUGCUCCACCGCUGAAGACUUUCAGCUGAACUUUCUGAGGUCAGAAGGUCCUGAGGCCGAAAGGCUCCCAGUCUUCAGACCUGGGGUAACUUUAUUUUAUCCUGGUCAUUGUACUCUGAUGCACUGUGUUUAUGGAGAUACAUGUAUAAUUUGUAUAUAAAUUUGUAAAAUCAUUAAAAUUAUUUUGCUAAAA
Tachysurus fulvidraco (yellow catfish) is the source of this 1897-nucleotide long non-coding RNA. RefSeq lists it as uncharacterized. NCBI's taxonomy places the organism in Eukaryota, Metazoa, Chordata, Actinopteri, Siluriformes, Bagridae. The transcript has 2 exons. The record is from RefSeq and is a predicted model, not a curated record.